This 2990-nucleotide ribosomal RNA is filed under the name Escherichia coli. RNAcentral's name for it is "23S ribosomal RNA". It matches the Rfam family "Bacterial large subunit ribosomal RNA". The record is from RNAcentral. Lineage: Bacteria; Pseudomonadati; Pseudomonadota; Gammaproteobacteria; Enterobacterales; Enterobacteriaceae.
GGGUUGUGAGGUUAAGCGACUAAGCGUACACGGUGGAUGCCCUGGCAGUCAGAGGCGAUGAAGGACGUGCUAAUCUGCGAUAAGCGUCGGUAAGGUGAUAUGAACCGUUAUAACCGGCGAUUUCCGAAUGGGGAAACCCAGUGUGAUUCGUCACACUAUCAUUAACUGAAUCCAUAGGUUAAUGAGGCGAACCGGGGGAACUGAAACAUCUAAGUACCCCGAGGAAAAGAAAUCAACCGAGAUUCCCCCAGUAGCGGCGAGCGAACGGGGAGCAGCCCAGAGCCUGAAUCAGUGUGUGUGUUAGUGGAAGCGUCUGGAAAGGCGCGCGAUACAGGGUGACAGCCCCGUACACAAAAAUGCACAUGCUGUGAGCUCGAUGAGUAGGGCGGGACACGUGGUAUCCUGUCUGAAUAUGGGGGGACCAUCCUCCAAGGCUAAAUACUCCUGACUGACCGAUAGUGAACCAGUACCGUGAGGGAAAGGCGAAAAGAACCCCGGCGAGGGGAGUGAAAAAGAACCUGAAACCGUGUACGUACAAGCAGUGGGAGCACAGAGCAAUCUGUGUGACUGCGUACCUUUUGUAUAAUGGGUCANGCUUAGGCGUGUGACUGCGUACCUUUUGUAUAAUGGGUCAGCGACUUAUAUUCUGUAGCAAGGUUAACCGAAUAGGGGAGCCGAAGGGAAACCGAGUCUUAACUGGGCGUUAAGUUGCAGGGUAUAGACCCGAAACCCGGUGAUCUAGCCAUGGGCAGGUUGAAGGUUGGGUAACACUAACUGGAGGACCGAACCGACUAAUGUUGAAAAAUUAGCGGAUGACUUGUGGCUGGGGGUGAAAGGCCAAUCAAACCGGGAGAUAGCUGGUUCUCCCCGAAAGCUAUUUAGGUAGCGCCUCGUGAAUUCAUCUCCGGGGGUAGAGCACUGUUUCGGCAAGGGGGUCAUCCCGACUUACCAACCCGAUGCAAACUGCGAAUACCGGAGAAUGUUAUCACGGGAGACACACGGCGGGUGCUAACGUCCGUCGUGAAGAGGGAAACAACCCAGACCGCCAGCUAAGGUCCCAAAGUCAUGGUUAAGUGGGAAACGAUGUGGGAAGGCCCAGACAGCCAGGAUGUUGGCUUAGAAGCAGCCAUCAUUUAAAGAAAGCGUAAUAGCUCACUGGUCGAGUCGGCCUGCGCGGAAGAUGUAACGGGGCUAAACCAUGCACCGAAGCUGCGGCAGCGACGCUGAUGCGUUGUUGGGUAGGGGAGCGUUCUGUAAGCCUGCGAAGGUGUGCUGUGAGGCAUGCUGGAGGUAUCAGAAGUGCGAAUGCUGACAUAAGUAACGAUAAAGCGGGUGAAAAGCCCGCUCGCCGGAAGACCAAGGGUUCCUGUCCAACGUUAAUCGGGGCAGGGUGAGUCGACCCCUAAGGCGAGGCCGAAAGGCGUAGUCGAUGGGAAACAGGUUAAUAUUCCUGUACUUGGUGUUACUGCGAAGGGGGGACGGAGAAGGCUAUGUUGGCCGGGCGACGGUUGUCCCGGUUUAAGCGUGUAGGCUGGUUUUCCAGGCAAAUCCGGAAAAUCAAGGCUGAGGCGUGAUGACGAGGCACUACGGUGCUGAAGCAACAAAUGCCCUGCUUCCAGGAAAAGCCUCUAAGCAUCAGGUAACAUCAAAUCGUACCCCAAACCGACACAGGUGGUCAGGUAGAGAAUACCAAGGCGCUUGAGAGAACUCGGGUGAAGGAACUAGGCAAAAUGGUGCCGUAACUUCGGGAGAAGGCACGCUGAUAUGUAGGUGAAGNNNNNNNNNNNNNNNNNNNNNNNNNNNNNNNNNNNNNNNNNNNNNNNNNNNNNNNNNNNGCUGCAACUGUUUAUUAAAAACACAGCACUGUGCAAACACGAAAGUGGACGUAUACGGUGUGACGCCUGCCCGGUGCCGGAAGGUUAAUUGAUGGGGUUAGCGCAAGCGAAGCUCUUGAUCGAAGCCCCGGUAAACGGCGGCCGUAACUAUAACGGUCCUAAGGUAGCGAAAUUCCUUGUCGGGUAAGUUCCGACCUGCACGAAUGGCGUAAUGAUGGCCAGGCUGUCUCCACCCGAGACUCAGUGAAAUUGAACUCGCUGUGAAGAUGCAGUGUACCCGCGGCAAGACGGAAAGACCCCGUGAACCUUUACUAUAGCUUGACACUGAACAUUGAGCCUUGAUGUGUAGGAUAGGUGGGAGGCUUUGAAGUGUGGACGCCAGUCUGCAUGGAGCCGACCUUGAAAUACCACCCUUUAAUGUUUGAUGUUCUAACGUUGACCCGUAAUCCGGGUUGCGGACAGUGUCUGGUGGGUAGUUUGACUGGGGCGGUCUCCUCCUAAAGAGUAACGGAGGAGCACGAAGGUUGGCUAAUCCUGGUCGGACAUCAGGAGGUUAGUGCAAUGGCAUAAGCCAGCUUGACUGCGAGCGUGACGGCGCGAGCAGGUGCGAAAGCAGGUCAUAGUGAUCCGGUGGUUCUGAAUGGAAGGGCCAUCGCUCAACGGAUAAAAGGUACUCCGGGGAUAACAGGCUGAUACCGCCCAAGAGUUCAUAUCGACGGCGGUGUUUGGCACCUCGAUGUCGGCUCAUCACAUCCUGGGGCUGAAGUAGGUCCCAAGGGUAUGGCUGUUCGCCAUUUAAAGUGGUACGCGAGCUGGGUUUAGAACGUCGUGAGACAGUUCGGUCCCUAUCUGCCGUGGGCGCUGGAGAACUGAGGGGGGCUGCUCCUAGUACGAGAGGACCGGAGUGGACGCAUCACUGGUGUUCGGGUUGUCAUGCCAAUGGCACUGCCCGGUAGCUAAAUGCGGAAGAGAUAAGUGCUGAAAGCAUCUAAGCACGAAACUUGCCCCGAGAUGAGUUCUCCCUGACUCCUUGAGAGUCCUGAAGGAACGUUGAAGACGACGACGUUGAUAGGCCGGGUGUGUAAGCGCAGCGAUGCGUUGAGCUAACCGGUACUAAUGAACCGUGAGGCUUAACCUUACAACGCCGAAGCUGUU